Long non-coding RNA from Sus scrofa (pig), 1385 nucleotides. RefSeq lists it as uncharacterized. NCBI's taxonomy places the organism in Eukaryota, Metazoa, Chordata, Mammalia, Artiodactyla, Suidae. The record is from RefSeq and is a predicted model, not a curated record.
AGCUGGAGAGUAUCCCGUUGUCUGGAUGUGCCACAGAGCUGCACAGAUUAUUUGUCACCUACUGAACAGCAACUCCAUCGCUUUAGGUCCUGAGAGCCUUGCAGUCUCAUAAACCCACUGAAACUCACCGAGCCCGAUCUGCUGACAUCAUUCCUACUGCUUUUCACCACCAGCCUCCCUAGACUCCCAGCAGCAGUUCUUUGGAAUAAAAUCAGACCACAGCAGGCUACUUACAGCUUCUGCAAGGUGCUAUCAACAGGUCCUGACAGCUACCCAGAAGCCUGCAUUUCCAUCUGCUCCAAACUCAUGCUCGAGAGAAGAUUCUGGGCCUCCCGGUGACCUGACGUGGUUGAGCUGUGCAGCCUUUCUCCUUGAUUCUUAUUGCAAGGCAUCAGCAAGACUAGCCAGUAAUUACCUUCCAAGUAAUUGCACAACGUCUGCAUGCGUCUUGCAAACCUGGUCUGGAGCCACACGGUACGUGCAGAAUGAGAAGUCUUUACACGACGGGAUCUGCCACUGCCUGCACGGCUCCCCCCAAGGGGAUGAUGGGAAGAUAACUGGAGGGGCCGCGCCAGAGUUUCGUUUGGUGAUCACACAGGGACACAGCUCUGGUCACCAACUAUGAGCAGCCUGCUGUGGAAAGACACUCAACAGGAGAAGCAUUCUGAAGCGGUGAGCUGGAGGCAAGCAGCCCUCAGAGUCCAGCCUGGCAGGAGCCAAGCUCAGCGACCACCUGCAUCUCCGUAACCACGUCCCCCACCUCCGCCAGGAACAGAGGCAACGGGUAUGCUUAUCACACUCUACACUCUCUGGCCUUCGAGGAAGAAGCCACCAGGGUCAAUUCCAGCACUAAAGCAAGAUGGUGCAGGAGGCCCAGGCUGACCCUUCGCCAAAGGUCAGGCAGCCCCUGGCUCUUCCUGCCUCUCUGUCAGAAAGAAGACUUUUUAUGACUUUAUUUUAAAUCUGUUCUGUAGAAGGCUUUUCCUGGAAGAGGAGAUUCUGAGGCAAAGAUUGUCAGCAGUCUCGGCAGGAGCUGUCAGAACGUGGUGUUCCAAUAACAGUUCUUGGCAGAGCUUGGAGCUCCCUCCUGGGGUUGGAGCUGGCUUGGCGGGAGAUGAAGGGGCCUGAGGCCAGGCUGCCUGUGACCCACAUCCCGGGCAAGUGCUCUCAGCAGCACGCUUGGACCUUGGUGGGACAUCAGAACCACUGCUGGUGCUGGGCGAUUUCCCUUUCUCCUACAAAUAGGUCCCAAGGAGACCACUGGGACUGUUUGAAAUCCACAUGUUGUUUCUCCAAGGGUUCUUCCAACCCCAGAAGGAUGGACCCUCCCCAUGUUCCUAAAGAAGGCUUUUUUCUUUUCUUUUCUUUUCUUUUUUUUGUUUUGU